RNAcentral lists this long non-coding RNA (425 nucleotides) under Zea mays. RNAcentral's name for it is "long non-coding RNA (ZMAY_LNC000912)". Lineage: Eukaryota; Viridiplantae; Streptophyta; Magnoliopsida; Poales; Poaceae. The record is from RNAcentral.
GAAGAUACAUGAGCUUGUUGGUGCAAGGAUGCAUCAUCUGUCUGUAUGCCAGUGGGAGGUGAAACUCAAGUUGGACUGUGAUGGCCCUGCAAGUGGUACCUGGAGAGUUGUAACUACAAAUGUUACUGGUCACACCUGCACCAUUGAUGUAAGUUGUCCCUACUGUUUUAGUAUUCUGUACAUUGCACACAUCACAAUACAAGUCAAUGUGUGGUUCUUAUAUUUAACUGCCAUCCAUGUCAUUAUUUUCUGAAGCACAUAGUACUUCUAAUGGUUUUAGAUAUACCGAGAAGUGGAGGAAAUAGAAUCGCAGAAGUUAGUGUACCAUUCAGCCACUUCGUCAGCUGGACCAUUGCAUGGUGUUGCACUGAAUAAUCCAUAUCAACCUUUGAGUGUGAUUGAUCUAAAGCGCUGCUCUGCUAGGA